CGCCAUCUUGUGACGGGCUCUGCGCGGAGUUCCCGCCCCGCGUGCCGGCCGGGAAGUUCGGUAGCCCGGGGCGCUUGCGGUCCAGGGAUGUGUCCUCGUUCCGGUCUGCGGGUGUGCAGGGAAUAAGGGAAAUGCCAUGAACUAUGUGGGCCAAAUGAAAGAGAAUACUAAAGGAUUCUGGUAAGACAAUCUAAAUGAGUAGCCUGAAACCUGGCUUCCAGGAGAUUCUCUGCCUGGGUUCUUCAGUCUACAGUCUGAAAUGAAUGCAUGCCACAGCCCCUGUUUCACUGGAAGCUUUAAUAAAUUCUCCAUCUAGCAACAUCUGUUUAUGAAACAUAAGACUGUCAGGUCAUUAAGGCAAGUUCCUUGCUCAGCUUGACUAAAACUGGCCAGAGAUUCAUGGAUUGUGACAGGAAGCCCUGGCUUGCAUGACAUGUGUAACAUGUCACUAUCCAGACCUGGACACUCUCUGCAUAAUGUGUGUAUCCAGACAUACAAAUAUACAGAGCAUGCUUUCUCCUUUAGGGAAGGAGGAAAAUUUUCAGCUCACUGCUUACUACAAAACUUGUGGAGGACUACAGUACAGGCAGAGCCCUCAAAUCUCAGGAAGAGAGCAGAACAUAAAGCAGACGUGCUUCUACUGUGUGGUAAAUGUCAGUCUGAUACUGUCAGAGGUACUGAUAGCCAACAAGCGAAGUUGUGUGCUGACCUGUCGGUGCCAGCCAGCUGUCUGACAGGCUUUUGGUUCCAGUGACUGACCUGAGAGAAGAGCUGACCAGCUGCACUGGAGGCAAGAGAGAAAGAAGUAAAUGAAAGCACAAAGUGGCUGUGUCGUACCCUGCCGUACAUGUCCCUGUAUGCCUCGGCAAUCAUAAGCCGCUGGGAGUUGCAACGCUGAGUUAGGAUAUCAAUCAACACAUCUUUUUCACAACCUGUAAAGGAAA
Pipra filicauda (Wire-tailed manakin) is the source of this 944-nucleotide long non-coding RNA. RefSeq lists it as uncharacterized. The record is from RefSeq and is a predicted model, not a curated record. The transcript has 4 exons. NCBI's taxonomy places the organism in Eukaryota, Metazoa, Chordata, Aves, Passeriformes, Pipridae.